GUGAGGAAUUUUCCGCAAUGGGCGAAAGCCUGACGGAGCAAUGCCGCGUGAAGGAUGAAGGCCUAUGGGUUGUAAACUUCUUUUCUCAGAAAAGAAUUAUGACGGUAUCUGAGGAAUAAGCAUCGGCUAACUCUGUGCCAGCAGCCGCGGUAAGACAGAGGAUGCAAGCGUUAUCCGGAAUGAUUGGGCGUAAAGCGUCUGUAGGUUGUUUAAAAAGUAUUCUGUCAAAGAUUAGGGCUUAACCCUAGAUAGGCCGAAUAAACUUUUAAGCUAGAGUUUGGUAGAGGCAGAGGGAAUUCCAGGUGGAGCGGUGAAAUGCGUAGAUAUCGGGAGGAACACCAAAGGCGAAGGCACUCUGCUGGGCCAAUACUAACACUGAGAGACGAAAGCGAGGGGAGCAAAUGGGAUUAGAAACCCCAGUAGUCC
RNAcentral lists this ribosomal RNA (426 nucleotides) under uncultured bacterium. Its description in RNAcentral is "partial 16S ribosomal RNA". It matches the Rfam family "Bacterial small subunit ribosomal RNA", at positions 354 to 796 of the family's 1533-position model. The record is from RNAcentral.